Xenia sp. Carnegie-2017 is the source of this 307-nucleotide long non-coding RNA. RefSeq lists it as uncharacterized. The transcript has 2 exons. NCBI's taxonomy places the organism in Eukaryota, Metazoa, Cnidaria, Anthozoa, Malacalcyonacea, Xeniidae. The record is from RefSeq and is a predicted model, not a curated record.
UUGGGAUUCGGCUAGCAAUUUUUUGAUGAAAAUCACGAUAAAAACCUACAAUUCGUAACAGCGAGUCAACUGUGCUUGCUUUCCAGUCAUCGGCUCUUGCGAGGAAAGCUAUUAACUAUAAACUAUGUACGAAAGAACUCUUUGAACGUUUUUAAACAUCGUGUCUAAUGUACAUGUGCACGAUGUGGACGAUGUGGUCUCUUUUCAAGGUUAAAAGACUCUUGGUGAAAAGACUCUUGGUGAAAAGGCUCAGGUGAAAAGACAAAAGUAUCAUGUGAGAGCUGAUGGGCAUAUAUCAUAUAUGAAU